UACGGAGGGUGCAAGCGUUAAUCGGAAUUACUGGGCGUAAAGCGCACGUAGGCGGAUUGCUAAGUCAGGGGUGAAAUCCUGGAGCUCAACUCCAGAACUGCCUUUGAUACUGGCGAUCUUGAGUCCGGGAGAGGUGAGUGGAACUGCGAGUGUAGAGGUGAAAUUCGUAGAUAUUCGCAAGAACACCAGUGGCGAAGGCGGCUCACUGGCCCGGUACUGACGCUGAGGUGCGAAAGCGUGGGGAGCAAACAGG
Molecule: ribosomal RNA, 253 nt
Filed under: uncultured bacterium
Lineage: Bacteria
Description: partial 16S ribosomal RNA
Rfam family: Bacterial small subunit ribosomal RNA
Source: RNAcentral